Molecule: long non-coding RNA, 562 nt
Filed under: Phoenix dactylifera (date palm)
Lineage: Eukaryota; Viridiplantae; Streptophyta; Magnoliopsida; Arecales; Arecaceae
Description: long non-coding RNA (PDAC_LNC021424)
Source: RNAcentral
GGAUCUUCAUUGACCAACAUUACUCUUAUAGAAGAUUGGCAUGAAGAAGGUAUGUCUAUGACCCCAUCUUGUAGAAUUUGUAAAGGAUGAGCAAAGUAGAUCUAUUGUUUAAAGCUGUAUUGAAGCAUGAUAGAAUAAUUAUUUUAUCAUACAGCUAGUAGACCAGAUUGUAUGCUCAUUAUGUGACCUUGUGCAAGACUUCAAUCUAACUUUAAUUAAUCAUAUUUUAUUGAUAACAAAUACGUCAUAAUCUGAAUUUUGAUAGAAACAAACGUUUAAGAUAAGUUGAUUAAAACUUAGUUAACACAUCUUAUUGAUAAUUAUCUUAAGCAAAUAGAAUCUAAACUAAAUUGAUUUGACCUUGAUAAAUCUGCCUAUUGCCUCACAUGCUUGUCCUUGAACAGUCUUGGUUAAUGAAACUAUCUCUUUAGUUCAAGUGACAUAUGUUUGCUUAUGUUUAGGCAAUUUCUUGAGUAAAGUGACUCAACAUUCAAUUAUUAUCAUAUCUUAGGUUGAGUUACCUAGUUAAGAAAUAUGCUAUAUGAAUGUUGUGUAAGAAACU